GGGUAAGUCUUAUACGACCAGCUCCCAAUGAACUCCCCCAGGUCUGGAAGGAAGCAAGGGCAAUUGGUUGAUGCGGAGCGAUAUAAGGGGCUUGCCCACU
Molecule: signal recognition particle RNA, 100 nt
Filed under: Bacteroidota bacterium
Lineage: Bacteria; Pseudomonadati; Bacteroidota
Description: Bacteroidetes bacterium (groundwater metagenome) signal recognition particle sRNA small type
Rfam family: Bacteroidales small SRP
About the family: The non-coding component of the signal recognition particle in Bacteroides
Source: RNAcentral